This 1242-nucleotide long non-coding RNA is filed under the name Manacus vitellinus (golden-collared manakin). RNAcentral describes it as "lncRNA (ENSMVIG00005015595.1)". The record is from RNAcentral. Lineage: Eukaryota; Metazoa; Chordata; Aves; Passeriformes; Pipridae.
CAGGGACACAACCAGAACAUCACAACGGGCACCAACCCCUGCCCUGGCAAAGGGCACAGCUCUGGGCUAGGUAAAGGACAUUUCCCUGUUUCAGUCACCUCUGGGACAUCAGGCAAGAGAAUAACAACAGGAACAGCCCCCAAAACCCGACUGCCAGGGUGCCUGUCACACACACUGAUCACAGCCCUUCCACAGGGCAUUUUUCUCUUUUCUUCUUUUCAUCUUUUUUUCUUCUUUCCUCUUUUUUCUCUCUUUUUUCCCCCCUUUUUUUCUCUUUUCUUUUUCUCUUUUCUCUUUUUUCUUUUUUCUCUUUCUCUUUUUUUCUCUUUUCUUUUUCUCUUUUCUCUUUUUUCUUUUUUCUCUUUCUCUUUUUUCUCUUUUUUUUUCUCUUUUCUCUUUUUUCUCUUUUCUCUUUCUCUUUUUUUCUCUUUUCUUUUUCUCUUUUCUCUUUUUUCUUUUUUCUCUUUCUCUUUUUUUCUCUUUUUUUUCUCUUUUCUCUUUUUUCUCUUUCUCUUUUUGCUCUUUUCUUUUUCUCUUUCUCUUUUUUCUUUUUCUCUUUUUUUCAUUUUCUCUUUUUUCUUUUUCUCUUUUCUUUUUCUCUCUCUCUUUUUUUCUUUUUUGCUUUUUUCUUUUUCGCUUUUUUCUUUUUCUCUUUUUUCUUUUUCUCUUUUUUUCUCUUUUUUCAUUUUCUCUUUUUUCUCUUUCUCUUUUUUCUUUUUUCCUUUUUCUCUUUUUUAUUUUCUUUUUUUCUUUUUCUCUUUUUUAAUUUUCUUUUUUCAUUUUCUUUUUUCUUUUUCUCUUUUUUCUUUUUCUUUUUUCCUUUUUCUCUUUUUUCAUUUUCUUUUUUUCUUUUUCUCUUUUUUAAUUUUCCUUUUCUCUUUUUUCUUUUUCUCUUUUUUCUUUUUCUCUUUUUUCUUUUUCUUUUUUCCUUUUUCUCUUUUUUCACUUUCUUUUUUUUUCUUUUUCUCUUUUUUCAUUUUCUCUUUUUUCUUUUUCUCUUUUUUAUUUUCUCUUUUUCUCUUUUUUCUUUUUCUCUUUUUUCUUUUUCUCUUUUUUUUCUUUUCUCUUUUUUUUCUUUUUCUCUUUUUUUUUUUCUUUUUCUCAUUUUUCCCCCCUCUUUUCUCAAGCAACACCUCACGGGACACCAUCAUCUUUACAUGCCCAGCACGUGAUACAAAAGCAACAACUAACCCUACACAAAUAAAGGCAACCAACAAAUCACAUCUGGUGGGUUCUGGCUGA